UCCUCCUCCUCCGACGGAGAUGCGGCGCCCGUCAAUCCGCGCCGCAAGCCCAGGGUUUGCACCAGGAAGGUCAGGGGCGCCAGGAUCCGUACCCCAACCCCGAGCCCCGAACAACAGCAACCAGAGCAACAGCCAGAGCCAGAGCAGCAGCCGCCGCCGCAACCAGAGCAACCGGUCCAUGCCGAUCCUCUCGUCAGGGCGGUGCUCAUGAUCCCUACCAGAACCACCACUGCUACUGCUACCGCCAAGCAGGAUCCCGUGGAGGACUUCCUCGCGCUCGCCCGUCAGAAAGGCCUUAUCUAGCCGUUCGUCGCUUCCUGGGGUCCUGCACUCUUCACCUAGACUAUACAUGUUGCCAGGCUGCCUUGGACUUUGUCACUGUAUGUUGUCAAAUCGAAUGUUCUGGUAGCGCCUUUUAAAUGAUUACUAGGUUAGAUAUAACCAUGAGAAUGUUGAUGUUGGUACUUAGUAGUAUCGUUUAUGGGAUAUUGGGAUUACACUCAUGUUGUGGGUGUGUCUUAUGCUUUGCAGUUUUGGUCUUCAGUGUCAUGGCCAAUCCAGCAAUGCUUAGGUAGAUGGUUUGCAAUAGAUUGCAGCAAUUUUCCCUGCAAAAAUGUUUAUAUAUACUACAGAAAUUUGACAC
This is a long non-coding RNA of Lolium rigidum, 643 nucleotides long. RefSeq lists it as uncharacterized. NCBI's taxonomy places the organism in Eukaryota, Viridiplantae, Streptophyta, Magnoliopsida, Poales, Poaceae. The transcript is spliced from 2 exons. The record is from RefSeq and is a predicted model, not a curated record.